UACGUAGGGGGCAAGCGUUGUCCGGAUUUACUGGGCGUAAAGGGCGCGUAGGCGGUCUAAUAAGUCAGAUGUGAAAGUCCAGGGCUCAACCCUGGAAUUGCAUUUGAAACUGUAAGACUUGAGUGCAGGAGAGGAGAGCGGAAUUCCUAGUGUAGCGGUGAAAUGCGUAGAUAUUAGGAAGAACACCAGUGGCGAAGGCGGCUCUCUGGACUGUAACUGACGCUGAGGCGCGAAAGCGUGGGUAGCGAACAGGAUUAGAUACCCUGGUAGUCCACGCCGUAAACGAUGAGUGCUAGGUGUUGGGGGUCGAACCUCAGUGCCGCAGUUAACACAUUAAGCACUCCGCCUGGGGAGUACGACCGCAAGGUUGAA
RNAcentral lists this ribosomal RNA (372 nucleotides) under uncultured bacterium. RNAcentral describes it as "bacterial SSU rRNA". It matches the Rfam family "Bacterial small subunit ribosomal RNA", at positions 524 to 898 of the family's 1533-position model. The record is from RNAcentral.